UACAUUUCCUUAGCUUAUUGAACAUAACAAUGUACUUCUGACAUUAUUCACAAAAGCCCAUUACUUGAUUUUGGGGAAGAAGCUAUUAUGAUUUUUAUCUUAAGUAAUCUAGUAAGUGAAAAUAGCACUUUCAUUUUCUCUUUCCAUUAUUUCAUCAUACUAUUCAGUAUAAUCUAUGCUUUAUUUUAAAACAGUUAAUUUGGUUAAUUGUUCAGAUGGCUUCCUAUGCACCUUUUUCCAAAUAGCAUCUUUUAAACUUGGUCUAAAAAUAUGAAGUAGCAUUUUAGGCCUUAGAUUUCUUCUUAGUUUCAGAAAUAAAUGACAUUUAAAAUGUCUAUAGUAGUUUGUAUGGUGUAUUUUAAUCAGAAGUAAUUAAAUGUUGAUACUUUCAAAAAUGGUUGGAUUUCAUACAGUAAGAUUCACCCUUAGUGUCCAGUUUAGUGAGCUUUGACAAACAUAGAGUCACAUGGUCACUACCUCAGUCAAGAUACUAAGCAGUAUUACCACCUCCAAACCUCUACUUUCCAAUCUCUGUUUAGUCUUCCCUUCCCCACUUUCCCAAAUGAUGUUAUCUAUUGAUCUUGGACCUUUUUUUGGUAUUUCUAAAUUUCAAAACAAGCUAAUUAGAUGGUAACAAUGGUUAAUACAUCGUGUAUUGUUAUCUUUAAAUUAGUUACUCGGAGUACCAGAUACCUGCAUUUACUUGUCUUGGGCUAUUUUUAGAGGUCGGAAAUAAAGCUAUUAUUGUAGUAAGAAUGUCUGAUACUUACUAAGUACUCCCUAUGUGCAAAAUGUGUGAAGAGUACUUACCAUAAUUCUCUGACUUGGUCUUGUACAGCCACAGAAGCUGUGGGAAACCAGAGCUCAGAGAGUUCAGCCAUGCAUCCGAGGUACUGGGGCUGGUUGCUGUACCUCACUUGACUAUGGCUAAACUUCCCCCUCCCCCAAGUUACACUGACCUCUUAAAUGUUCUGUGUAAGUAAAGGAGAAUUGAUGACUUGGAAGCCCUGAUUUGAUCUUCUCCUUUGAAUGUGAAGAAUGUUGGAGGGGGAAAGAGAACCUUUACUUCUGCUGGCAGAAGAAACUGACAGAUAAUACAGCUCUGCAGCUGUCUCAUCACCUGUUAUGACUGCUUGCCCAGGCCUUCCAGCUUCACAGUGACUAAUAGUCUGACCUUGUCCAAGGUGCCUACCUGCUUGUUCCAAGACUGUGAUAGUAUGUUGCAAGCCACUCUGGAAGCUACCUGCAGCUGUAAGAGUUGUGCGAAAGAUCCUGUUCCUGGGUGACUAAAGACUCUUCAGAAUGUGAGAGGUUCAUGCUGGGGCAGUUCACUGGACCACAGGAUCAGGCUGAGAUAACAGGCUGCCCUAGUAUCAGCAGAGAGAAGGAUUUCACUCUGCAUACAGUUAACUCCUAACAUCCCUGACUUGGGCAGUAUCUGCCUCCACAAAUGGGGUGACUUCUGGCAAGGGAGUAGACAGAAGUCCAGCCUGUCACUUUCCUUGCUAUCCUUAGUAGGUCAUCUUAGCUCUUGCUUUUGAAAAGUGCUUGAGCCCUUACCUGAGACUUGUAGAGUUGUCCUCCUGGUACGGUGUUGGGCUGCCUCUCCUCCUUCUUGUCCUUGUACUGUGAAUGCCACCCUCUCCACUCUUUUACAUCUUUUACUUUCUCCACCCGUUUGUGUCCCCCAUCAGCAUAUAAACAUGCUUAGGUUCUUAAAACCUAAGAAAGAUAGCACACACUUUCAGCUCUCUGCUCAACUUGCUCCUCACAUUCUCUCCAUUUGCAGCUGUAUCUUGAAAGCAGAGCUAUAAGCCCCCUUUUCAUCUCCUUUCCUUCCUUUUAUUCUUUACCCUCUCCUUCUAGUGGAUAGCAUCAAAGCUCUCUUGCCACAGUUAUAGGCCACCUUCUCCAUUCUGCGUCUGGUCCUUGAUAGCCUUUCCUUAGUCAUGGCUAUAUUAUCCACGGAUUCUUGAUGAUUUGGAAGUUGAUGUCUCCUACUCAGAUUUACUUGCACUGCCUGAGGUUCAGGUGUUUACUCAGUGUCCCUUCUAACAUGUCACCUGAACACUUCCCUGAAACAUGUUCAAAUCUGGCCUUUUAUCCUGAUCCUACCUCCUAGCCAGUCCUUUUUUGGAGUUAGUUUUGCAACUGGCUUUCUCCUUUGUUUGUGACCUUUGCAUUGAUCUGUAUGAAAGAGUAUUCUUUAAAAGGAGUGACAAGCUCUUAUUUUGUAAGAAAAAUUUACGUAUUUAUCUUUUUAAAGUAGUAUGAUUAGUUCUGAUAUGUGCUUCUUGCUAGAGUUUAGAUGAUGAAUGUCUCCCCAAGAUAUUAAAAUCAGCAUUACUUCAGUACUGCUGUUGGGAGGUGAGAUAACCUUUAAGAGGUGGGGCCCCGUGGGAGAUAUUUAGGUCAUGGAGGGUGUUCCUCUGAAGGGCAUUGUGGACUCAGCCUCUUCUCCCUUUUUUACUUGCCUUGAAAUGAGCAGUUUGCUCUGCCAGGAUGCGUACCUGCUGUUGCCAUUGAAGUAUGGCCACCGGAAUCUCAAAGCAUUGGAUUCUCCUGAUCUUGAAUUGGAACCUCCAGAAAUAAGAGCAGAAAAACUUUAGUUAUAUCAGAUGACAGUCUAAACUGUGGAACUAACUUUAGGAGAGGUACAGUUGACUCAAUAAACCUGUCAUGCUGAGGACAGACCUGAGGAAGGAAGAGAAAUGUGGUUAAAGGUUAUUCAGCUUUUUAAAACAGGAGCCCCUUGGAGACUUACAGUUUCCUCAGUAGAUUGCCUGGAAGUAACUGAAGAGUGAGAUAGGUAUGCUAUAAAAGGCUCUUCCUUCCCUGGCCCAGCCUUUUCCUGGUGCGUAACCUCUCUCUGUCCUUCUCAAUCCGGAUAUGCAUACAGCAUGGUCCUAUUUUGUUAAGAGCAUACAUCCUUUGUGUACUAAUGGAUUUAUCUUCUUUUCAGUUAGAGUCAUGUCUGAAGGGUCUUUUAAGUUUUUUGCUCUAUCUAGCUACAUAGCCAAUAGAUACAAGAAUUUCUUUUACUAGGCACAGCAGUAAUACAGAGUUUUAAUGCCCCCUCUUUUUGGUUAUUGUUUGUUUUUGGUCACAACGCGCUCUUCUGAUGGUAUAAAAAUGUAAAAACAUCUCUAAAUUAGUGGCAUAAACAAUGGCUAUUUUAUUAUGAGUGGAUUCUGUGGGUUGGCAGUUUGGACAGGCAUAUUAGAGAUGACUGAUCUCUAUUUGCCAAUGCCUGGGGCCUCAUCUGAGAAAAUUUGAAUAGGUAGAGUGACUCAAAUGCCUGGGAAAGGGGCUGGAGGGUCCACUUCCAAGAUGGUUUUGUCAUUUAUUUAUUGGCACCUCUGCGGGGAUAAUGGAAAGGUUGGAUUCAGCUGGGAAGCAGAGUGCCUGUAUGUGGUUCUCCAACAUGAUGAUCCCAGGUAUUUGAAUGUCCCCUAUUGUGAGCCUCUCAAAAAAAAAAAAAAACAAAAAAACAAAAAAACAAAAAAAACAGAUGAAGGCUGCCUGGCCUUUUCUAACCUACCCUUAGAAGUCACACUGAGUCACCUCCACUGGUUCUUUACUUAGGCGUAAGUCGUCGCCCAGUCCCAAUUAGAGGAGAGGAGAGUAGGACCCCCUUUGAUGAGGGAGUGGUAAGUUCACACUGAAAAAGAUCAUGUGGGAUGGGGGGACAGUAUAGUGUUCAUCUUGGAAACUUACAUAAAAAGGAAAUUGCAGGCAUCUUGAUUUUCAAUUUCAUAGCAACUGAUUGCUCUUUUCUUAUGUGAAUCAUUCAGAUGUUUCAUUGUUUAAAAUUUAGCAUUAGGUAGAAAAAAUAAUUGGAUGAGCACUGGAAUAGUCCACUCUUUACCUGAGUGUAUUUCUACCUAACAUAACUUAUAUAACUAUUUGAGUCAAAGGCGAACUGUUCAUCUCAGACUUAGUUCAGAUCCUUAGCCAGAGAAACUAAAAUAAAACUGUAAGAUUAUAGCAGAGUACUGUUAAGAAGAACAAAUUGUCAUCAUGAACUUUGCAAUCAACAAGAUAUUUAAACUAGGAAUAUGUGUAGUAUGACAAUCUCAUCAAUUAAGUAGUUUGCUUGAAAAGUUGUAUAUUGAUAAUUAGAGAAGACUUUGCUAGUCACAAAAUUUAAUUUUGGGGCAUAGUGAUGAAAUAAUUUCUUCCUUUCCUAUUUGUGACAGAUCACUCUUAUGAAAAUGCAGUUGAUUUACAAGAAUAAUAGAUAAAUCUAACAACUAAAUGGAUUAGAUAAUAUAUGAAAUUGCCCUUUAACAUUAACAACUGUACUGACUCUAAAUAGUAUUUCACAGAGAGAGAUGCUUAUUGAGUUCUGAACAACAACUCUGUAUUACUUUAGUGAAAGGGAAUGUCCACAGGGUAAAAGUUACAUAGCUUUGAGUUGGAGGAAAAAGACUGAGGUAUUAUUACUACCCAGGCAAAUUAUUUCACCUUGUUAGGUCUCAGUUUCUUCAUAUGUAAAGCUCAGGGUUUGAAUCUCUUCUACCUCUAUAAUAAUUCUUUGACAGUUGCUCUUUGUACUCUGUGUUGCACUGGAAUAAGGCCGUUAUAUGGCAGCUCAGAGUUAAUAUUAAAUAUGGGAAUACAAGGGUCAUUUGGUUAAGUUCCAGAAAGUUUAUAAAUCCUGAUCACUUUAUGUUUGGUGGCAUAUUAACCAAAAGUUAAAUGGAAAUACUUAAGAAAACUGAAUUAAAUAAAUUACUUAAAAAGUCUACAUAUUUAGAGUAUUUACCAAUGAUCACACUUAGAAAUGUUUUAGUUAAAAUUGUUAGCUUUAUUCAUUUGAACUCUAAAACUAUAUUCCACUCAUUUGGAUCCAGCAUCUAAAUUACUAAGUGAUAAUUGAGUAAGAAAUAGUAUAAUUGCAGUUCUGAGGCUUAAGCUUUUCUGAGCUUUAGUGAUGCUUCUGCAUACCAGAAGUCUGGAGUCUAGACAGUGCAUUAUUUUUGUAUAGUGUGGCCGUAAGAUUCUAAGAACUUGUGCGUUUUGCCUCAGUUUUCAAAUUUACUGUCAUCGUCUUGGUCAUAUUCUCUGACUUUUUUCAAUCCACUGCGUAUAUAGUCAUGUUUCUGUUUUCAUUAAUAGUGUUACUUGUUUUCUUUUGUUGUUGUUAAGGUGUGUCAGACUCUUAACAGUUUCAUAACCUUUUUAAAGAACCAGUUUGUGGUUUUGUUGAUCUUACAUAUUGUUCUACUCUGUUCCUUAUCUGUUUCAUCAGUUUCUGGUUUUAUCUUUAUUAUUUCCUUUAUCCUUUUUCUUUCUUUUUUUAUUUUAAAGAGGAUAAAACAGAAUAAAACCAAUCAAAACAAACCAGUUUAAGAGAUACAGAACUUCAAAACAUUAUGAAGUCAACAAUAGUUACCAUAAUGCCUUUUGAUGUCUUUGAAAUAGCUGCAAGUAACUUUGGACGUAGUAAAAAUCAAACAGAAUAGAAUAGAAACAAUAAAAGCAAACAAUGAAUACAAUAAAGGAUUUCUAACAAGUCAAUAGUAAUUCCAAAAUGGCUACCAUACUAUAUCUUGCCAUCUUUAAGAUAGCUUCUCCUGCUAUCAGAUUUACCAUAAUCAAACAAAACAAAGAGAAUAAAACUCAAUCCAACAAAACAAUGGAAAUGAUUGAGGACCUCAAAACAAGACCAUAGGGAAUCAACAAUGGCUGCAACCCUCAGAAGGAGAUCCUACUAGAUGCCACACUGUGUACCGGUAUCUUCUGAAUCUAUGAUCAGACCACUGGCCCUAGACCCGCAAUAUUAGUGAAACAUCAAAGCACCACAGGCGUCCAAUUGCAUUUCACCUCCAUAGCUAUUAUCACAGCCUGUGUUUCUCCAGAUAAGUUGGUCACUUAUGAUGGGGUGGGAGUGGGGAUUGGUACUUCUUGUUUGCCAGCCGGCACUGGAAGGGCUGGGAUCUAGCUGUUCCCAGUCCUGUGGUGGCCUGCACGUGGUGUUGGUUUCCAGAUUGGGCUUGCUUGUUGGUGUGGCGUUGUUCUCUCUCCCCCUAGUCCUCCAGUGGUACAGACUCACGGGGAGAGGGACUUAAGUCUAGCUGUUUGCAGUCCUGCGGUGCCCCGUGCGUGGUGCUGGUUUCUAGUUUGGGUUUGUUAGCUGGUGUUCUCUGCCCCCCAAGUUGGCCACUGGUGCUGACUCACGGAGAGAGGCUUGGCUCUAGCUGUUUACAGUCUGGUGGUGGCCUGCAUAUCUUUUUUCCUUUUUCUUUGGUUUAUUAUUUCUGCUAAUUUUUUUGACUUUUUAAGUUUUAUGCUUAGCUCUUUAAUAUUUAAGGCUUUUUAAAGGUUAUACUGCCCCUCAUACGUUUGCCUUAAAGGAAGUGUACAUUUUUAUAACUGACUUUUACUGGCAUCUGCUUGAGGGGGAACCAACUUACUCUUGUAUGUAUUUUCCUCACAAUGAAAAAGAAUCAUCUCAGGUAAUGAUUGUUUCCUGGGACUCCUUAUCAAAAAGAUUCUGUGGAUAUAGAUUUUAGAAGUCUGUUUUAGAAGCUGUGAAGGCAGAGCUAGCAAAGCAAUUGAAAAUUCAUGCAGGCAAAUUAUAAAAUAAUGAGCAUCCAUUUUUCACCCAUCUAUAGUAUCAGUCUAGGGUAAAAUCAUUAGAAUAUAUUCUUGUUAACCCAGCCCUCUACUCCUGCCCCUGAAGAGGCAUGAAAACCAUGCAACUGUUUUGUGUUUUUAAACAAAUAAAGUGAUGUGUUCAUAAUAUUUUAACUCUGCCAUUUGUAGUUGAGUUACUUUGUUAUCUGUGAAAGAUCUUCCACAAAGUAGCCUGUGAAUGUGACAAUAGGAUUGUGAAUCAUUAGGUUAUGGGUUCCAAAUUCUAGAGAGGCAUUUCAAUUCCCAGUACUACCAUCACAGCAAAAAAUAAAAUAAAGUCAUCCAUGAGACAGUUACUUCUUAUUGAUUGGAUUGCUUCAGAAUAUCAUUUAACUUAUUAAUACAUUUAUUACAUGUAAUAUUAAUCUUUACAUGUUUUUCUUUUAGUGAUGAUAUAUUAUGGCAUUACAUUACAUUAACUACUACAGGCCUUCCACAUAAAUUACUUUUGUUUAUGUGUAAAUACAAAUUGAUUUUUACUUACUAUGAUUAUAUGAUUAAUUGAGAAGCCAAAUAACUGCAAAGGUCAAUAAAAUAUUUAAAAGUAGAUAUGAAAACUAGAUAGAGAGAAAGAGAGAGAGAGAGCACAUGUGCAAGAGUUGAUCCUCUGAGUGCUGCAAGUGGCUGUCACCACAUGCUGUUUUGGCUAUUGCUGAGGGUAGAGAGGACUGACAUGCAGGGAAGGCAUGCUCACAGUAUGUAGAAAUGGCAGUGCUCAUAUGAAUUUUGUUUUGCAGUACUGGAGAAUUGAAACCAGGGGUGCACUAUCACUGAGCUACAUCCUCAGCCCUUUUCAUAAUAUUUUUUAUAUUGAGAUCUGCUAAGUUCCCAGUUUGAACGUGAACUUGAGGUCAUCCUGCCUUAGCCUCCUAAUAUGCUGGAGUUACAGAUGUACAGCACCAUGCCCAGCCUUGUAUGAUACUUUUAUUAAUGUUUAAAAACAGAUUUACUUCUCAUUUAACAGGAGGCCAUACAUUACAUAUAAAUAGAAAUUUACUGUAUAAUAAAACCACUGUAUCAUAACUACUACUAAAUGGCAGUCUAUAGAUGUGUUUUGAUAAUCCAUUAUUGAUAAUUUGCUUUUAUCCUGGCCCUUUUGAAGAAGUUUGUGGUGGAAAGUGACACUAGAGUUAUAUUACAUGUUUAGUUGAGUUAGAAAAUGUAUCUGGAUCAACAGAUCAAGGCCGUUUUUAAAGAAGCACUUAGUAUUUUGACUUACCAUCUCCUUUGUGUGCGUGCGUGUGUGCCUGAUGCUAGGCAUUAACCCAGUUCCUUGAAGUUUUUUUAACCAACCCUAGAUCUUUAAAGCAUCUUUAAUUAUUAUAUGUUUUUUCUUAUUAGUGGGUCUAUCCAUACAGUAAGUUUUCCCAAGGGAAGGGGCUAGCGAUCUCUGCUUCUUGAGUGUGUAUUUAUAGUAACCAAUGCUUGCUGUAUGACAAAUUAAGGGAAAUGCUAGUCAGAUGUUUAGUUUUAUCUUCUAAAAUGGAUUGUUUCAAUUAAAGUAUCUUGAAGGGAAUCUCUCUUUUAAAUAAUACAGGCCAAGCAGAUUGUUUUAUUUUAAUUUAGUCAUCUGCCUUUGUAAUGUAAGAAGCCUUAGCUGUAUUGAAAAUGUGACUUGCCUGCCCAGUUGUACCAGACAGUUUGAGAACUGUGUCCUGGGGAGUCUCAUACCUAUUCUUGGCAAACUGAUAGAAUAUCUAGUAAAGGGUAAAAUCUUCAAACACAGGAACUGGGAAUAAUCUUUUGAGGAAAUAGCAUCUGGAUGUCUCUGAGAGGGGAUCCUGUUUCACCAGGCUUUCUUCAAAAGCUGGGUCACAAUGAAGAGACAAACAGGAGAUGAACUGCUCCCUCUAUCUUCGAAAAAUGCAAAUCAGAAUUGUUGCAUGUUUUGAGAGAACAGGCUCCAAAUUUUUAGAAUAUUUUUACUUUUAAUUUUAAUAUGCAAACACAAGAUUUUUUCCUCCAAGGAUGUACAUCAUCUUGACCUUAUUAUUAACCACUGCCCCUUU
Cavia porcellus (domestic guinea pig) is the source of this 8651-nucleotide long non-coding RNA. RefSeq lists it as uncharacterized. The record is from RefSeq and is a predicted model, not a curated record. NCBI's taxonomy places the organism in Eukaryota, Metazoa, Chordata, Mammalia, Rodentia, Caviidae. The transcript has 4 exons.